AAUUUUAAUUUGUCUCUAGCUAUUGUUUGGUUGGGGUUAAGGGGUGGAAUAACCUCUUAAGGUUAAGGGGUGGAAUAACCCUUAACCCCCAUUUUAUUCUCAAAUAUUUCUAAAAAUGGAUGGGAUUAGAUCCCAUCUCAAAUGGAUUAUUCCGGAUUAGCUAACCCCACCUAACCCGACCAAAUCCUAAUCAAAUAUUAUUUUCUAUUCAUAAUAACCCACUAUCCUUCUUAUCUCACAUACUCCAACCAAACACUAUUUUUCACUAUCCUGAACUAACUCCAACCUCCAACCAAACACAAAAAUACUCUGACCCCAUCUUAACUCUAAACUUAACCCUAUCCCUGAAAUAACUAAUUUUUUCUUACCCCGAACCAAACGGUUACAGUUUAGCAUGUAUUUACUAUGCUAUUUACAGUUCAAAAAUU
RNAcentral lists this long non-coding RNA (428 nucleotides) under Ananas comosus (pineapple). RNAcentral's name for it is "long non-coding RNA (ACOM_LNC004760)". Lineage: Eukaryota; Viridiplantae; Streptophyta; Magnoliopsida; Poales; Bromeliaceae. The record is from RNAcentral.